This 253-nucleotide ribosomal RNA is filed under the name uncultured bacterium. RNAcentral's name for it is "partial 16S ribosomal RNA". It matches the Rfam family "Bacterial small subunit ribosomal RNA", at positions 524 to 776 of the family's 1533-position model. The record is from RNAcentral.
UACGUAGGUGGCAAGCGUUGUUCGGAAUUAUUGGGCGUAAAGGGCGCGUAGGCGGCAUGUUAAGUCGGCUGUGAAAGCCCGGGGCUCAACCCCGGAGGGUCGGCCGAUACUGGCAAGCUAGAGUACAGAAGAGGUAGCUGGAAUUCCUGGUGUAGCGGUGAAAUGCGCAGAUAUCAGGAAGAACACCAAUGGCGAAGGCAGCUCUCUGGGACGGUACUGACGCUGAGACGCGAAAGCGUGGGGAGCGAACAGG